UACGUAGGGUGCGAGCGUUAAUCGGAAUUACUGGGCGUAAAGCGUGCGCAGGCGGUUGUGCAAGACAGAUGUGAAAUCCCCGGGCUUAACCUGGGAACUGCAUUUGUGACUGCACGGCUAGAGUGUGUCAGAGGGGGGUAGAAUUCCACGUGUAGCAGUGAAAUGCGUAGAUAUGCGGAGGAACACCGAUGGCGAAGGCAAUCCCCUGGGCCUGUACUGACGCUCAUGCACGAAAGCGUGGGGAGCAAACAGG
RNAcentral lists this ribosomal RNA (253 nucleotides) under uncultured bacterium. RNAcentral's name for it is "partial 16S ribosomal RNA". It matches the Rfam family "Bacterial small subunit ribosomal RNA", at positions 524 to 776 of the family's 1533-position model. The record is from RNAcentral.